Molecule: transfer RNA, 69 nt
Filed under: Chirocentrus nudus (whitefin wolf-herring)
Lineage: Eukaryota; Metazoa; Chordata; Actinopteri; Clupeiformes; Chirocentridae
Description: tRNA-His
Rfam family: tRNA
About the family: Transfer RNA (tRNA) molecules are approximately 80 nucleotides in length. Their secondary structure includes four short double-helical elements and three loops (D, anti-codon, and T loops).
Source: RNAcentral
GCAGACGUAGUUUAAAUAAAGUGUCGGAUUGUGAUUCCGAAGAUAGGGGUUAAACCCCCCUCGUCCGCC